AAUGUUUUUUUAAAAAAAAAACAACGAUACCAAAAUAAGGAAAAUCACAUUUGUUCAAUGCUUUCUCAAUUCAGUUUAUUUAUCUAACACAUUUAAUGAAAGGGAAGUCAACUGAGCGUUAUUGUCAUUCUGCUACAUGUAGGAACAUACAGUGGAACAAAAUGUUAUAUCUCUAAGGCUCUAAGGACCAAAUUACACAACAGAAAAUACUUUUUAAUUGUAUACAACUAACAAAGUAUAUAGCACAUGAUUACAUAAAGUAAAAAAAAUAGUAUAACAUUUUAAGACAAUAGUCUGAUUCUCGCAGCACUCCUAGACCUUAACCACUGUACAUAGUGGCAUGACUACAGUAACUUUUUCUGUUGUUUUGCUUAAAUGCACAGUGGAUGUAUUUAACACACAUCUUCCAGCAAUGCGCUCAACAGGGAGAAAUGAUGCUGGGUAUCAGAUGUCUUUCCCCACAAACUCCAAAUUUCUAUGGGUUUUUCAUAAAAAUGACGGUCUGGAUGGGGAUGAAGCCAAGAGACUUGUGUAAUGACAUGUUUAAAUUAUUACCUUUUGACACAACAUGUACAACAAUAAACCUCUUGAUAAUAGCCAGCUGUGGUUCUGCUACAGGGUCAAUGGUGGGUUACCAUUUUGCAUGUCUUGGCAAAACAGUCAAUUACAGUUGAGAUUUUCAGGGUACAUUUGAUGUUACAUGGUCAACAUAGCAUUUCUGUCAUCCUCAUCCAAGAUUAUUUGCUGGAAUGGAGACAGAGGCUCCACUGUACAGUUUUUUUUACACAACAGUGUACCUUUACUUUGCAAUGCGAGAAACAGAUACAUAAAUAAAGACACAGGGCCAGUGAAAUAAAAUAAAAAAUAAAAUUUAAAUAAUUAUUGCAAUUUAGAUCAACUUAUAUUUAUUUCAAUUAAAAUGAAAACACAUUAUGGAGCUAGGGCUUCUGAUUUAAAUCAUAUUCUGCUAUUAUGGAGAGAAGAUUGAUGCCAUUCUUGUUUUUCAUAUUACUAAGGGUUUUAGUGUAAGAAACAAAAUCAUUAUGAAAUGCACAGAACCUGCGUUUCACUUUUAUCGAUUUUGAUUUGUGUAUGAAAAAUUUCCCCAGCAUAAGUAUAUUAUUAACCAGAUAAUCAUCAUUCUUAUUGCUCAUAACCAGCCCAUAGAUAAUGUCCUGUAAGGAAAAGUACUCAAGAUGAGGUACUUUUGAGUAAAGCCAAUUACAAAUAUCCAGCCACAACGCACCAACAUGUUUCAGAAUCAUCAGAAAAUACACAUGAAUUGGUUACAAUUCCAAAUCUUUUUUGUACAAAUUCCACUGUACAGUUUAAUGCUCUCCGAGCGCUUCCUGGUUACGUCACUUCGCAUGUGAUGAGGCUCGGCCAUCAGGUGCUAGGUCACGGUGACGCAGUAUGUUCCUCCAAUCACAGACGAGGAAACGAGACAAAGCGCGGAACCAAAACAUACAAACAGAGAUGUUACUCUUUCCUGGAAUUCGCUUACCGUUUUCAUUUUUACCUCCGCUCUUUAUAUUUACCUCGCUCUUUACAUUUUCUUAGCUGUUUACAAUGGCUCGCCAAGGAACUGAAGAGGAAGAGGCGGCUGCACAAUCCUAAAAUCGUGGAGGCAGUCCGUCGGCUAACUCUAAGGCAAACUGUAGGCGAUAUGACCCGGAGCAAGGAAUAAGCUCGCCAUAUAAUGAGACGGUCUCCUCAUUUUAGUGGGAGCACUGUCCAUAAGCCCGGAAUUGCGCGAUGAAGGCCUGGAUAAAAAUGACUUUGUUGUUGCCUGCAAGACAUACUACGAGACAUAUACUGCAUAGAAAUUUCCGGUACAGCCAGCCAGAGCUAGCAAAUGUGGCUACAGCUAAUAAGACCUCAGCCCAGAGUUGCCGGAGGAGGAAGAGGCUCUUGGAGGCGAGGCAAAGUGUACUGGCUACGGAUGAAGUGGACUUCUGGAGGGGAAUCACCGCUGACAUGAUGUCAGAUGAAUAAGACGGUGCCAUUGAUGGAGUCUUAGGGUGGAUUGUGUGACCUCCAUCGUUCCGCAGCCAGGAGCUCAGCAAUCUGUGUACUAAGCUGCAGGAGAAACUAGAAGCCAGUUCAAAGUGUGCAGCACUGCAUCACUGGCGUCUGUGAACUGGGCUUCUGUCUAACAGAAUGCCACCGCAUACCUACGACCCCGAGGCAGCAAAAAGACAUUUGAUGCCAAACAUGAUGCCAUGAAAAUAAUCUCUGGCUACUUUUUGUCUAUUUAAUAAAAUAAAACUCUUACAUUUAAUCAA
Molecule: long non-coding RNA, 2285 nt
Organism: Hemibagrus wyckioides
Lineage: Eukaryota; Metazoa; Chordata; Actinopteri; Siluriformes; Bagridae
Exons: 5
Source: RefSeq, a predicted model, not a curated record